UACGAAGGGGGCUAGCGUUGCUCGGAAUCACUGGGCGUAAAGGGUGCGUAGGCGGGUCUUUAAGUCAGGGGUGAAAUCCUGGAGCUCAACUCCAGAACUGCCUUUGAUACUGAGGAUCUUGAGUUCGGGAGAGGUGGGUGGAACUGCGAGUGUAGAGGUGAAAUUCGUAGAUAUUCGCAAGAACACCAGUGGCGAAGGCGGCAUCCUGGACCGACACUGACACUGAGGAGCGAAAGCCAGGGGAGCAAACGGG
This 253-nucleotide ribosomal RNA is filed under the name uncultured bacterium. RNAcentral's name for it is "partial 16S ribosomal RNA". It matches the Rfam family "Bacterial small subunit ribosomal RNA", at positions 524 to 776 of the family's 1533-position model. The record is from RNAcentral.